Molecule: ribosomal RNA, 297 nt
Filed under: Clostridia bacterium
Lineage: Bacteria; Bacillati; Bacillota; Clostridia
Description: partial 23S ribosomal RNA
Rfam family: Bacterial large subunit ribosomal RNA
Source: RNAcentral
UUCGGUCCCUAUCUGUCGUGGGCGUUGGAUAUUUGAGAGGAGCUGACCUUAGUACGAGAGGACCGGGUCGGACGUACCUCCGGUGCAUCGGUUGUUCUGCCAAGGGCAUAGCCGGGUAGCCGCGUACGGAUGUGAUAAACGCUGAAGGCAUCUAAGCGUGAAGCACACCUCAAGAUGAGAUAUCCCAUCAUUUUAAAUGAGUAAGGUCACUUGUAGACUACGAGUUUGAUAGGUCGUAGGUGUAAGCACAGUAAUGUGUUCAGCUGAACGAUACUAAUAGACCGAGGGCUUGAACUG